This 522-nucleotide ribosomal RNA is filed under the name Salmonella enterica subsp. enterica serovar Senftenberg. RNAcentral's name for it is "partial 16S ribosomal RNA". It matches the Rfam family "Bacterial small subunit ribosomal RNA", at positions 993 to 1515 of the family's 1533-position model. Lineage: Bacteria; Pseudomonadati; Pseudomonadota; Gammaproteobacteria; Enterobacterales; Enterobacteriaceae. The record is from RNAcentral. RNAcentral also lists the same sequence under 11 other names.
GAAGUUUUCAGAGAUGAGAAUGUGCCUUCGGGAACCGUGAGACAGGUGCUGCAUGGCUGUCGUCAGCUCGUGUUGUGAAAUGUUGGGUUAAGUCCCGCAACGAGCGCAACCCUUAUCCUUUGUUGCCAGCGGUUAGGCCGGGAACUCAAAGGAGACUGCCAGUGAUAAACUGGAGGAAGGUGGGGAUGACGUCAAGUCAUCAUGGCCCUUACGACCAGGGCUACACACGUGCUACAAUGGCGCAUACAAAGAGAAGCGACCUCGCGAGAGCAAGCGGACCUCAUAAAGUGCGUCGUAGUCCGGAUUGGAGUCUGCAACUCGACUCCAUGAAGUCGGAAUCGCUAGUAAUCGUGGAUCAGAAUGCCACGGUGAAUACGUUCCCGGGCCUUGUACACACCGCCCGUCACACCAUGGGAGUGGGUUGCAAAAGAAGUAGGUAGCUUAACCUUCGGGAGGGCGCUUACCACUUUGUGAUUCAUGACUGGGGUGAAGUCGUAACAAGGUAACCGUAGGGGAACCUGC